UACAGAGGUCCCAAGCGUUGUUCGGAUUCACUGGGCGUAAAGGGCGCGUAGGCGGAUUGUACAGUCAGGCGUGAAAUUCCCGGGCUCAACCUGGGGGCUGCGCUUGAGACGUGCGAUCUUGAGUGGGGAAGAGGGUCGUGGAAUUCCCAGUGUAGAGGUGAAAUUCGUAGAUAUUGGGAAGAACACCGAUGGCGAAGGCGGCGACCUGGUCCUUGACUGACGCUGAGGCGCGAAAGCGUGGGGAGCAAACAGG
Molecule: ribosomal RNA, 253 nt
Filed under: uncultured bacterium
Lineage: Bacteria
Description: partial 16S ribosomal RNA
Rfam family: Bacterial small subunit ribosomal RNA
Source: RNAcentral